Molecule: long non-coding RNA, 1340 nt
Organism: Oncorhynchus keta (chum salmon)
Lineage: Eukaryota; Metazoa; Chordata; Actinopteri; Salmoniformes; Salmonidae
Exons: 5
Source: RefSeq, a predicted model, not a curated record
GUUUAAAGUGAGAGAGGGAGAGAGAGGUGGGAAGAGACUGGAAGACAGACAGAGAGAGCUGGAGAGAGAGAAACAAAGAGAGAAAGACAGCAGUGCAAAUGUACUUAGACUUGAGUAUUUCAACAACUCUUCCAACUUGUUAGGCAAUCAUUUGUACUUAUGGGAGAAGGAUGGCCAGCCACAAAGGAGGGCGAUUUUUUUUACUAAGGAAGAGAAAGAGGUAGUGCUGACUGAGAUGAAUGCUGGCCAAUUUGGAGUGAAACGCAUGAUUGCCAAAUAAAUCUGUUUCUUCUGACAGAGAAUUAUCAAGGUGGACAGCUGGGCAAGUGAAAUAACCUUUUGUUUAUCAAUCACAUUCUAUCUGAAAUGAUUACGAUUUCAAUGAAUGUCAUAUCAGAGAGCACACAAUGUUUAAAUGUCACUUUUUGCUUAAAAAAGGUCAGUACCCUGACUAGUCUGCCAGAAGUUUGAAAGGGCAAAGACUGUGGCAUCGGAGUUGAAGCCCAUCAAAGUUGUUUCACCAUGGCGUAUGAUCGAGGUGGAUCUCAACGGACCCUUCACAAAAUCCAGGAAUGGCAACAGCUGGUGUCUGACGGCAACCAAUCACUUUAUCAAGUGGGUGGAGGCAAAACCCAUAAAGGACGAGACUGGCGAGGCCACCUCCAAGGCGAUGAACAUCUUCAACACCCACGGUUCUCCAGAGGUCAUCUUGAGUGACCGAGGUCAUGAAAGCUGGAACAAGCAUCCAGGCCUCCACUGAGUACGGACGGAAGCCACAGCUGUUGACUGAGGUAAACAAUGCAAUUGGUUUGGAAGAAGGACAAAAGGAAGGAGAGGCCUGGGAAACUUCGCUGCUCUUUCGCUCCUAGCUGGGGUCACCAUCUGUUAAGGGUUACCUCAGUGGAAGCAAACAAUCUUCUCCAGUUGGAGCAGUUGGAGUGUUUGCUUGUUUACGUCCCUGUCUCCUACCCUGUUCCCUUUAACUCUGCUCCUGUUCUCCAGGACCUAGGGGUUCUGCCCAACAUCCAGACAUGGAUCCACCUGACGUCCUCAUUACCAAUCACCCUUCAACGUUUCAUUACAUCAUCUACAGCUACUGUUAUUGUCAUUAUCUGCUAAGAACGUUUUCUUGCUCUAACAUACUGGGCACAUAAUUAUGUGAGAUACACAAAUUAACUAAAAACAUUAGCACUGCAAACACUCAGAACAAAGAGAGCAGUGCUUGGAUUUUGGAAGUCUCCCUCUUCAAGUCCACCUUCUGAAGCUGGCUGCCUGUUGAGAACAAGUGACAGGCAGAAACCUCCACCCACACAGCAACCACCUCGUCAAUAUGCCACACA